GUCAACGGUCAUACCCCGUUGAAAGUACCAGUUCUCGUCCGAUCACUGAAGUCAAGCAACGUUGGGCACGGUUAGUACUUAGAUGGGUGACCGCUUGGGAAUACCGUGUACUGUUGGCA
Ribosomal RNA from Odontomachus brunneus, 119 nucleotides. The record is from RefSeq and is a predicted model, not a curated record. NCBI's taxonomy places the organism in Eukaryota, Metazoa, Arthropoda, Insecta, Hymenoptera, Formicidae.